Scleropages formosus (Asian bonytongue) is the source of this 2916-nucleotide long non-coding RNA. RefSeq lists it as uncharacterized. The transcript has 2 exons. The record is from RefSeq and is a predicted model, not a curated record. Lineage: Eukaryota; Metazoa; Chordata; Actinopteri; Osteoglossiformes; Osteoglossidae.
GGCAUAUGAGGUUGGGUGGAGCUGAGUAGGGAGCCAUAUGAGGAUAGGUGGAGUCGGGUGGGGCUUGGUGGGGCAAUAUGAGAUUGGGUGGAGCUUAGCGGAGCUGGGUGGGGCAAUAUGAGGUUGGGUGGAGCCUGCAGAGCUGGGUGGGGCAAUAUGAGGUUGGGUGGAGCCUGCAGAGCUGGGUGGGGCAAUAUGAGGUUGGGUGGGGUAACGGAGGGUUGAACUGAGACGGGAGAUUCUGGACUUUCUACAGAUCGCAGUAUUUAGAGGGUUUUUGUCUCGAAAAGACACCAUAGCCUCCAUUUGAGAAAGAACUGCAGAAGAACUUGAACACAAUGUUGGAUGCCAAUCUGUUCAGACAGGCCUUAGGAUCUUCUCUUAGCCCUUGUUGGGUUUCUUUUCUUAGCUCUUUUUACCAUUGAUGUUUAUUUUCAGAGGAGUUUGCAUCUGCACUUUGGCAGCAGAACUGUGUCUACGCAACACACAGCAGCCGUUGCUUUGAAAACGUCCUGUUGCAAACCCAUCGGACUCUCAAAGUCGUAAACAUGUUUUGCAGCCGUUUUGCUUGAGUUUUGGCACUAAAUGAAUCUGAGUUUAGCAUCUGUGAAAAGAAUAGUUGUAAAUGUAAAUGACGACCCUCUGGGAAGACACGGGUUUCUCCAGGGCUCAAAGUCUUGCCAACCUUUCCCUAUCAGCUACCCAGGAUGCUUUGCACACUACUCUCCCUUUUCGACUGUGUCCCUUUGCUUCUUCAAUGAUAUGUUUAGAAACUAAAAGAAAAAAAAUUAUAUUUAAUGUGCAGGUGACUAGAGAUGAUCUGCUAUAGACCACCUUUACCAUUUGACAUCUGUCCACCGCUACCUCCCUUCUCGUAAAACAUAAAUGUAGGUAAAUGUACUGUAGUGUAAUGUUUGGCUUGUUUGAACAAACGAUUAUUUGAGCUUAAAUAAGGGUACACUAAUGUUUUACACUUUUUACACUUAGUGGCUUAUAUUUCAGUCAGUAGUAUUUGUAUUAAUAUAUGAACAACAUAGUGAAAAUUUCAUAUACAUGUGUUUGAUUAAAUACUAUGCAUAAUUACUGCAUAAAAUUUCCCUGGCAGUGUGCAAUAACAUUUGGUUUAAGGUGAUUUUUACACAAAAAAGGUGACAAACUGUUUCAUUUUCCAAAAUUUCAUGUUUAUGUCCUUUUUAAACAAUAAAGCAGCUAAAUCACAGCUGUGUUUGGAUAAAACCACUGCAUAUAGAGUAUGGAUUUAAAGGGCCAGUGUCACUUUUCCUCAUGUAAAUAUUGCUAACGGUACAUCUUAUAAGGUAAAACUCAUACUUUGGAAGUGGUUUUUACAGCGCAACGGUCCAGAGUUUUUCAGCUUCCCAUUUUUAGAACACACACAACAGACACAAAAGUGAGGCACGAUUGUGCCUUUUUUUUUUUUUUUUAAAGCUUUUUUUGCACUGAAGACAUAGAUACCAAACUGAAGUGCUCUAUAAAACGGGUCAUGGAUGAGCAAACACACAAGGUAUUGUGGGACAGCUGCGCGUUGUGGGUCGCCUUUGCUGGGUCCUUUCGGAAAGGUUGUGCAACGCUUGCCUGCCCUGAGCAAACUUAAAACACUGUUUCCCAUGAUGUGUAUGCAGGGUUUUCCGCACCUCUACACACUGGAGCCCAAGGGUUCUGCCUUAUCAAUCUCUAACAGAUUUUUUUUACUGUAGAUAAAAUAUUCUGAGAAAGCUUUGUGGAUGUGGAACAGCGGCAGGAGACGACAGUGACCCCGGCGUCAAGAAAACGACAAAUUCCUUUUGUUUGAGUCUUUAUUCAGAUGCUUGGUCCUGCCAUGAAAGAGUGCAGCGCACUGUAUGCUGCAAACCGUAUGUGACCAAAGUAUCCUAGUAGCUCAAGUGUGUCUUAGCGUUCAGAGAUGGAUGGUUUGAGUUCCGCAGCGUAGGCCUGGGUGUCCUCAGUGGUCUUGCUGCUCGGUGCCGUUCCAUAGAUGGACAAGUUGUUUCUCGUGUCACGUACAGGUACGCUGUAGGCUCCCCAGGUUUCUAAGCACACAUGGGAAAACGGUGUUAAAUCUACUCGGAGAGAGUGAAAUAUCGCCUGAGGGGUGUUUCUUGAACAUGCGCAUACCAACUUUGCCAGAGUUGAUUUAACUGCAGGUUUUACUUUAGGCUAAGUGUUAUGCAGAAAUUUAAUGUUUGUUAGAAAUAUAGUCCCAGUGAAAAAUAUGAGUACACCUGGGCAAUGUCAGAAUAUUGUAUAUUACAAUAAUAUGUAUGUAUAAAAACAUUGCUACUGUGGGACACAAUGGACAUAAGAGGAAAGAAAAGUAACCCACAAGUGUCCUACAUUUCUGGGAACUGCUGCAGAAGAGCUGGGGAGACAUGGCAGCUCAUUUCCUCAUCAAAACUGAAUUGCUAACCAAAUGCCAAAAGUGAGAAAAAAGUAGUUUCCAACAAGUGUACUCAGACAUUUUACUGGUACUCUAUAUAUAAUAUAAAAUAUUCUACAACUUUGGCUAAAACCAAAAGCUUUCAGCAGAGGUCAGCAUGUGGGGCGCAAGCCGUACCAUAUGGGUGUAAUACGUAGAGCGCGAGGUCAAACUUGAGGUUUCUCCAUGAAAACUGUCGUACCUUCAUCCCCCUCGUCUCCUACCUUUUUCUGUAAUGUAUUUCCUUUCUCUCGUUUGAGUGUGUUGUCUCAAGAAGGAAACUCAUUUUGCAUAUGAACAGGAUGUUGUGUUGCGCGACCACGGAAACCAGCCCAUCGAUACAAGACGCCUUUCGGUACGAAGUGCCAAAUUGCGCAUGUCCUGCAAGUGUCUUACGUUGGCGAUGAGGACGGACUUUGCUACUGGUCGGGCUUGAGCGAAAGACGAGUAUCACUUUGGAAAUUAGCUCAAUGCUUUUGUUU